RNAcentral lists this ribosomal RNA (466 nucleotides) under uncultured bacterium. RNAcentral describes it as "partial 16S ribosomal RNA". It matches the Rfam family "Bacterial small subunit ribosomal RNA", at positions 28 to 507 of the family's 1533-position model. The record is from RNAcentral.
GACGAACGCUGGCGGCGCGCCUAACACAUGCAAGUCGAACGAGCGAGAGAGAGCUUGCUUUCUCGAGCGAGUGGCGAACGGGUGAGUAACGCGUGAGGAACCUGCCUCAAAGAGGGGGACAACAGUUGGAAACGACUGCUAAUACCGCAUAAGCCCACGGUGCCGCAUGGCACAGAGGGAAAAGGAGCAAUCCGCUUUGAGAUGGCCUCGCGUCCGAUUAGCUAGUUGGUGAGGUAAUGGCCCACCAAGGCGACGAUCGGUAGCCGGACUGCGAGGUUGAACGGCCACAUUGGGACUGACACACGGCCCAGACUCCUACGGGAGGCAGCAGUGGGGAAUAUUGCACAAUGGGGGAAACCCUGAUGCAGCGACGCCGCGUGGAGGAAGAAUGUCUUCGGAUUGUAAACUCCUGUUGUUGGGGAAGAUAAUGACGGUACCCAACAAGGAAGUGACGGCUAACUACGUG